GAUGAACGCUGGCGGCGUGCCUAAUACAUGCAAGUCGAGCGAAGCGGGGACGGGUGAGUAACACGUGGCUAACCUCCUAUAAGACUGGGGAUAAUUCGGGAAAACGGAGAUAAACCGGAAAAUUAUAGAUGGAUCAGCGCUGUAUUAGCUAGUUGGUAAGGUAACGGCUUACAAAGGCAACGAUGCAUAGCAGACCUGAGAGGGGGAUCGGCCACACUGGACAUGAGACACGGUCCAGACUCCUACGGGAGGCAGCAGUAGGGAAUCUUCCGCAAUGGGCGAAAGCCUGACGGAGAAACGCCGCGUGAGUGAUGAAGGUCUUCGGAUCGUAAAACUCUGUUAUUAGGGAAGCGGUACCUAAUGAGAAAGCCACGGCUAACUACGUGCCAGCAGCCGCGGUAAUAC
This 405-nucleotide ribosomal RNA is filed under the name uncultured bacterium. Its description in RNAcentral is "partial 16S ribosomal RNA". It matches the Rfam family "Bacterial small subunit ribosomal RNA", at positions 28 to 526 of the family's 1533-position model. The record is from RNAcentral.